CCCUUAGAUGUUCUGGGCCGCACGCGCGCUACAAUGGCAGACUCAGCGAGUUACCUCUGUCGAAAGGCACAGGGAAUCUUUACAGUAUCUGCCGUGAUGGGGAUAGACCCUUGUAAUUUUUUGUCUUCAACGAGGAAUUCCUAGUAAACGCAAGUCAUUAACUUGCAUUGAUUACGUCCCUGCCCUUUGUACACACCGCCCGUCGCACCUACCGAUUGAAUGGUCCGGUGAAGUCCUCGGACCCAGUUGAACCUCGAGUUGAACAGGGAAAGUUGACUAAAUCUUACCAUUUAGAGGAAGGUGAAGUCGUAACA
RNAcentral lists this ribosomal RNA (314 nucleotides) under uncultured eukaryote. RNAcentral's name for it is "partial 18S ribosomal RNA". It matches the Rfam family "Eukaryotic small subunit ribosomal RNA", at positions 1470 to 1796 of the family's 1831-position model. The record is from RNAcentral.